Molecule: long non-coding RNA, 657 nt
Organism: Peromyscus eremicus (cactus mouse)
Lineage: Eukaryota; Metazoa; Chordata; Mammalia; Rodentia; Cricetidae
Exons: 3
Source: RefSeq, a predicted model, not a curated record
CAUGCUCCCUGACCCUCUGUCUUGAGGCUGUGAAGAAACCAUGCCUGAGUUGGUGGAUGGGUAUGUAUGAUCUAGGCUUGAACAAUGAAACUGUGGAACCACCCUGGACUUACUGUUGUCUCAGGGAUCAGCACGCAAAAAUUGUUCCAAUCAAAAUAUGUUGGAAACGUGCUGAGCACUGAGUUCCACCUGAGUCUGGUCCCAGGGGAGAAGGAGAGAACUGAUGCUCUUGAGUUCUCUGACCUCCACACGCGACACGUUACGUCAAGCUGAGGACCACCUUACUCCCUAGGCAGAAUUUACUUCUCCUUUGAAUCUGCUCUAGAAAGAUCUUCCUCAACCCCAGCCAUCAAGCAAUGUGGAAUGACACCAGUAGCUAUGAAGUAAAAUUUUUGCUGUUAUUUUGAUUCAGAAAACAUGCUUUCUUCUUUCUUUUCAUGAACCAAUAUUUAUGAAUUAUUCUCGUGUACAGAUGACAUAUCCAUAGUAUGUCACUCUGAAAACAUUGACUAGAGAGCUUUCUGCCCUCUGAUUUUUGUGUAUUCUAAGGAACGAGGGAGAAAAGGUCAGAAUCCCUCCCUCUUUAUGUCCCAAUAAAACUAUCAUCUAAAUUAUUAUUGUAAGCCAGUGUGGCGAUGUGUGAUUGCAACCUCCACA